RNAcentral lists this ribosomal RNA (468 nucleotides) under uncultured bacterium. Its description in RNAcentral is "partial 16S ribosomal RNA". It matches the Rfam family "Bacterial small subunit ribosomal RNA", at positions 28 to 507 of the family's 1533-position model. The record is from RNAcentral.
GACGAACGCUGGCGGCGUGCUUAACACAUGCAAGUCGAACGGAAAGGCCCUGCUUUUGUGGGGUGCUCGAGUGGCGAACGGGUGAGUAACACGUGAGUAACCUGCCCUUGACUUUGGGAUAACUUCAGGAAACUGGGGCUAAUACCGGAUAGGAGCUCCUGCUGCAUGGUGGGGGUUGGAAAGUUUCGGCGGUUGGGGAUGGACUCGCGGCUUAUCAGCUUGUUGGUGGGGUAGUGGCUUACCAAGGCUUUGACGGGUAGCCGGCCUGAGAGGGUGAACGGCCACAAUGGGCCUGAGAUACGGCCCAGAAUCCUACGGGAGGCAGCAGUGGGGAAUAUUGCACAAUGGGCGGAAGCCUGAUGCAGCAACGCCGCGUGCGGGAUGACGGCCUUCGGGUUGUAAACAGCUUUCGCCUGUGACGAAGCGUGAGUGACGGUAAUGGGUAAAGAAGCACCGGCUAACUACGUG